CACGUAGGGUGCGAGCGUUAUCCGGAUUUACUGGGCGUAAAGCGCGCGCAGGCGGUGUCGUAAGUUGGACGUGAAAUCUUUCGGCUUAACCGGGAGGCGCCGUUCAAUACUGCGGCACUAGAGGGCAGAAGAGGGGAGUGGAAUUCCCGGUGUAGGGGUAAAAUCCUUAGAGAUCGGGAGGAACACCAGUGGCGAAGGCGGCUCCCUGGCCUGUUCCUGACGCUGAGGCGCGAAAGCGUGGGGAGCGAACGGGAUUAGAUACCCCCGUAGUCC
RNAcentral lists this ribosomal RNA (273 nucleotides) under uncultured bacterium. RNAcentral describes it as "partial 16S ribosomal RNA". It matches the Rfam family "Bacterial small subunit ribosomal RNA", at positions 524 to 796 of the family's 1533-position model. The record is from RNAcentral.